GAAAAGCUGAAGUUCAUAUGAAUUUCUUCCACAAAAUCACAUUUUUCUUAACAAAGUUUUGAUUUUUAACGAAUUUUUGUUUGUAUUAUUUGAUUUGAUUUCUGGGUUUGUCUUCUUUUUUCAUUUUUUUAAACAUAUAGAGGUAUAUAAAGGGUCGCCGGAAAAUGUCAACUCCGACGCCGGUGACCGCCCUGGCUCCUAGUAAUGCUACUAAUUCUCCUCCACCGUCGACUCCUGCAACAACUCCUCCACCGGCGUCUCCGACGCCCCCUGCAACAGCUCCGCCGCCGGCGUCACCGACCCCACCGGCAACGGCUCCACCUCCAUCGACUCCUGCUCAAGCUCCUCCACCAGCAAGAACUCCGACACCACCUGCAGCAACUCCUCCGCCGGAUGCUUCAGCCUCUCCGCCUCCACCAACUACACCUGCUCCAUCUUCCAAUCCGCCUCCGUCAACAACUCCUGCUCCAUCUGGGUCUCCUUCUCCACCAUCUACCACCCCUUCAACCCCAUCUCCUCCGGCGAGAGGGAAUUCUCCGCCAUCACCUUCAGGGGGAUCUCCUUCACCACCUAGUGGAGGAAGACCAUCACCGCCGGCGGUUUCUUCACCGCCGUCAGAUGAAGGGUCAUCGGGAAUAUCGACAGGGGUUGUUGUUGGAAUUGCUAUUGGGGGUGUUUUGAUUCUUGCAAUUCUGAGUUUGUUGUUCAUAUUUUGCAAGAAGAAGAAAAGGAGAAAUCAUGAACCAGUAAAUUACUAUGUUCCUCCUCCACCACCACCACUAGGGGUCAAAGCUGACCCUCAUGGUGGGCAGAUGCAUCAUUGGCAGCAAAAUGCUCCACCUUCGGCAGAUCAUUUUGUUGCAAUGCCUCCUAAACCGUCUCCUCCACCAGCAGGGGGAUUACUACCUUCACAUGCUCCACCACGUGCACCUUCACCUCAGCCUCAACCUUACAUGAACAGCAGUGGAGCUUCUUCAAAUUAUUCUGGGUCUGAAAUUGCACUUCCACCACCUUCCCCUCCCAUGUCCUUAGGUUUCUCACAGAGCACAUUCACAUACGAGGAGUUGGUUCGAGCAACUGAUGGCUUCUCAGAUGCUAACCUUCUUGGACAAGGUGGUUUUGGUUAUGUGCACAAAGGAAUCCUUCCUAACGGAAAAGAAGUUGCAGUUAAACAGCUUAAGGCUGGAAGUGGACAAGGGGAACGUGAAUUUCAGGCGGAAGUCGAGAUUAUUAGCCGUGUACAUCAUAAGCAUCUCGUGUCUCUUGUCGGAUACUGCAUUACAGGG
This 1286-nucleotide unclassified non-coding RNA is filed under the name Hevea brasiliensis (rubber tree). Lineage: Eukaryota; Viridiplantae; Streptophyta; Magnoliopsida; Malpighiales; Euphorbiaceae. The record is from RNAcentral.